This is a long non-coding RNA of Bos taurus (domestic cattle), 2868 nucleotides long. The record is from Ensembl. Lineage: Eukaryota; Metazoa; Chordata; Mammalia; Artiodactyla; Bovidae.
GUUCAGAAAAUUCUUUACUCAUUAAAAAAAAGAGAGAGAGAGGGUAGUGUAGAUGCUAAAAUAUCCAUUUGCCCAAGAUAUUACACACCUCUUAAUCUUUUAAUUAACACAGCAUCUGUGUCGGUGACUCUUUAAGUCUUACAAACCACAUUACCACAGUUGCCUGAAUAUUCCUCAAACCACUGGGAACUGAACUUUUGCCAUGGGGGUUAUAAGACUCAACAGACUUACCUGGUUCAUAAAUCCUUCAGCUUCCUGGUUUGGAGUCAAACAAGUCUUCAGUCUUCUCUCCUCAAGCAGAGAUUACUCUGCGAUGCUGCAACAACUGGCAUCUGGGCCCACCGUGCUUCACCUUUCCUUUUAUAGGUGCCUUUUGCCACGUGACGUUGUAGCUCCUCCUUUACUAAAAGGAUACAGUAUGUUUUCUUUCUUCUGACUUUGGGCUUGGCCAUGAGGUGGCAACCCACUCCAGUAGUCUUGCCUGGAGAACCCCACGGACAGAGAAGCCUGGCAGGCUACAGUCCAUGGGGUCACAAGAGUUGGACACGACUGACCGACUAAACCACCACCACCAUCACGAGACUUGUUUGGGCAAACAGAAUAUAGCAGAAAUGAUAGUGUAUCCGCUCUGGGUCUGUGGCGCCUCAAGACACCUUGCAACUUUCAAGUCUCUUGCUUAAUCCUCUGCUGUUACCGUGAGGAAGACUUGCCUUAAGUAUUCAGUUCAUCAGAGGGAGAUGAGGGAUGUGUGGGGAAGAGCUGCCCCAGCUGAGCCCAAUUUAGGUUAACCAGCCCUUCUAGGCCCCACAGGUGCAUGAGAUAAACCAUUUCUUCUUUUGUGAGCUGCUGAGAACUCUGGUUGUGCAUUACCCAGGUUUAUUGAAGCAACUGUUAAUCCAGACACUGACCCUCCAAAGUUAAUCAUUUCUUCUGGCACCAUGAGAGUGAGGUCAGCACCAAACCCUUCGGGCCCUUUCCACUUGGACUCUUUUUCAUUUGUCUAUUAUCUCUGCAUGGUAACAACAUGGUCACUCCCCUAACCAAACUGCAUUCCUGUUUUUAAGCCAUAGUUAAAAGAAAUUUCUUUUGAAAUAAUAGUGGAGAAAAUGCAAGGUCCUUUUUAAGAAAAAGAAUGGAGAAUCCAUGCAUGGGAAUAUGCAUCUCUUCUUGAACCAUCCUCUACAGCCAAAGAUUUAAAUCCAGCACUUAAGAUUAUCUGAACGCAGAGCCACUAAAACAAAACAGAACAGAAACUUAAAAUCUGCCAUUGUGCUAGCAUUCACAUCUCUUGGGAUGAUAUGAAAUAGGAGGGGUUAAGAGUCACUCAGUUGUGCUCUUGGAUGAUCACAGAGCUAUCUUUAGAACCAGGCAGAACCAGGUUACUGAAGCACAAACUAACGGUGUAUGCCUGGGAAGCAAAAUUCAUAGGGACUGGCUAAUAAGCUGAUGCUGCUUUUCUUAACUGGCUGAGAAGUUGAUCGUCACCUGAAAAGUUCAUGAUCCGGAAUUAACCUUUGGAUCCAAAGUGAAAGUGAAGUCACUCAGUCGUGUCCGACUCUUCGCGACCCCGUGGACUGUAGCCCACCAGGCUCCUCCGUCCAUGGGAUUCUCCAGGCAAGAAUACUGGAGUGGGAUUGCCACUUCCUUCUCCAGGGGAUCUUCCCGGCCCAGGGGUCGAACCCAGGUCUCCCUUGGAUCCAAAGACAGACUUUAUUCCCACAAAAUCAAAAUUGGUAACACUUUCUUGGAUACCCACUGUACACAAACAAAAAUUAUGUUAACUUGACUGUACAAACAUUGGUAAACAUGAGCCUAAUUUUAAAAAACAUAAUGUUGUUUGUUCUCACAGUUUAAAAGUAUAGCAGAAGAAAUGGGUUACUUUUUUCCUUUAGAGCCUUUCCUAAUAAGCUAACAAACAUGAAUAACUGUAUUUCAGGAUUUUCUCUGCUCCAUAAUCCUCCCUCAGAAGUUUUCAGACACUGAAGAAAUUUUCAAAGAUUAACCUUUGGAAAAAGUUGUCUUUUUAGAAAAGACAAAAGGAAAAAAAAAACCUAUGUGAAAUUUCCCAGAGACUCUCCUUCUAAUUUACACUAAUAGAUAUGCAGGUCAUAUGGAAAAUUAAACACCAAAAUUUGAAUUUUGGGGGCAAGAGAAUUUAUGCACACAAAUCCUAUUACCAGCUAAUGGGAUUUGUGGGGAUCCCCAGUGACCUAUUUAGAAAAUGUACCCCCUGCUGUUCAAGAUGAAUAUAUCAUGUGAGCUAAACCAGAAUACUUAGUCCUGCAGUUGGCUUUAUCCCCAGUCUGUCUGAGUGAUCCCUCCAUGAUUUCUAAAAGAUGCUGGCAACCAUAGCAGUUUGCAUAUCUGACUGACAGUGCAAAAUGACAUCUAUAUUUUCACUUUUAAGUUCUCCAAAAUUUGUUGCAAAUAUUUUUUAAAGGCCUCUUCCUUCCUUUCUCCUUUCCUCUCUACCCUUCCUUCCUCCUCCUUUUUUUCCUCCUUGUCUUCCUGCUCUCCUUUUUCUCCUCACUUUCUUCUCCUUAUUCUUAAAUGUAGAAAAGAAGUGAAGCAAGCAUUAAGGCAUUAAUAUUCUCUUUCUCUCUGUACUUGGUUGAAGAGAUCGAGGCUCCUGUCACAGUUCAAGUACCUGUCACUGCAGUGGUUUCAGAACUCUCUCGUGAGACAAAUAUACACAUGUUUUUGGAGAACCGUUUCUAAGUCAGGACUGUCAGGUGCUGAGAAAACCAAAUCACCAUGAGUGUGGAAGUGUCUGGGGGUAUUGAUACUGCACUCCUGUCUGUACAAUACUCCCUUGGCAAAACACCAGUUUUCUCUGGGACAUGGUCUCUCACCAACCUCCUGCAGCCC